UUUUUUUUUUUUUUUUUUUUUUUUUUUUUUUUUUUUUAGAAUAAGUGAUUAAUAUAAUCAAAGCUUCUAA
This 70-nucleotide non-coding RNA is filed under the name Ctenophora environmental sample. The record is from RNAcentral. Lineage: Eukaryota; Metazoa; Ctenophora.